UCAAAAUCUCUCUCUGUUUCAAUUUUCAAAUUUUGAACACCCUCUCUCUUUCUCUCUCUCCAUCAGAGCCCAUUCCCUUGCUGGAGACCCAACCCCAAUCUUCAUCUUCAUCAACUGAGGCAGCCCCAAUCUUCAUCUUCUCACUACAAAAGACCAACCAUUCGGAAGAACCAAGGGAGAAUUAUGACAAUGUCAAGUUUACAGAGCACACCACUGUUAAACAUGCUAGAGCAAGUAAUGGGCCUUAGAAGGAGGAUGGCCUGGAUCUGAAACCUUGUUGGACAAAACCCGGUUUGGAAGAAGCAACACAAACAGACGGUUUCGUCACCUUCUCAUUAACCAACGGCCCUGAAUAUCAUGCCUCACAGGCUCACAUUAGGCAGCUUGAGGACUUCCUUAAGACCUUUCAUAUCGAAACAUUGUGAGCUUAGAUAAUUGGAAAAAUGGCGAGGUCAUCAAUGCGUGUUCUAUGUUUGCUUCACUGUAGUACUUCAUUAUCUAGAUCAAAGUGUUUGGAGAGGUUUGCCUAAUUCAUAUUUUUGCUGUUGUUGAAAUUUGCUCCCCGGUUCAACUAGGAAGACUUUUAUACAAGAGUUAUCAUUUUAUUGUUAGGUUUCACUAUGUAAAACCUGUGUAAACUUCUCUCUUACAUUCAUGUGUGUUUCAGCCAAUGAUGGAGUCAGAAUUAUGGUUACCACUGGUAUAUUCAGAGCUCUCAAAGAAGUACAUGAAUUUUGUGCUGAAAGAAGGGGAUUAAUUACAAAAUAAAUUGAAAGAAGAUUAUUUGUUGCUACGACAAUGUCCAAACCAAACCAAACCAAAUUAAACCAAGCCUUAAGUCUCAUUGCUAUGACAAUGUCAUUGCAAAAAAUUGUGAAACAUGCAAUUAUCACUCUUAAACCUAGGUUUGUUGAGUUUUUUUGGUAUUGUUCAAAUUGAAACCGUAAAAUCAUCUGAUUUAAUAAUAUUAUAUCAAGCUAUUCAUGUA
Long non-coding RNA from Camellia sinensis, 988 nucleotides. RefSeq lists it as uncharacterized. The record is from RefSeq and is a predicted model, not a curated record. NCBI's taxonomy places the organism in Eukaryota, Viridiplantae, Streptophyta, Magnoliopsida, Ericales, Theaceae.